UACAGAGGGCGCGAGCGUUGUCCGGAAUCACUGGGCGUAAAGGGCGCGUAGGUGGCCACCAUAAGGCCGCGGUGAAAGUCUGGGGCUCAACCCCGGAUCGGCCGCGGCGACUGUGGGGCUUGGGCACCGUAGAGGCAGAUGGAAUUCCGGGUGUAGCGGUGGAAUGCGUAGAGAUCCGGAAGAACACCCGUGGCUAAGGCGGUUCUCUAGUACGGUACUGACGCUGAGACGCGAAAGCGUGGGGAGCGAACAGG
RNAcentral lists this ribosomal RNA (254 nucleotides) under uncultured bacterium. RNAcentral's name for it is "partial 16S ribosomal RNA". It matches the Rfam family "Bacterial small subunit ribosomal RNA", at positions 524 to 776 of the family's 1533-position model. The record is from RNAcentral.